RNAcentral lists this long non-coding RNA (483 nucleotides) under Calidris pugnax (ruff). Its description in RNAcentral is "lncRNA (ENSCPUG00000001486.1)". Lineage: Eukaryota; Metazoa; Chordata; Aves; Charadriiformes; Scolopacidae. The record is from RNAcentral.
UAAAUAGGCACCGCGAGAAAGGUGUUGAGAGGACAGAGCGAUCGGUAACUAUAAACAAGUACAAACAGUGCACACAGAUACAAACAACUGUCUGUUUUUGUUGUCCCUUCAACAGAAAAUACAAAAGAAAUUUGGAUGCUUUUUAAGAAGGGAAGGCCUGAGAGAAAGAGAGACUCAGAAAGAGCAGGAAAAUCUUGAUUCUGACCAUCACCGUCCAGAGAGGUGACAGCCCGAAACACCCAGGGGCUGCUCGUGGGAGGGUGCCCGGUCCCUCCCCAGCUCUGCCACCGCCCGCCGGCAGCUGAGUUAAAGCUUCUGCAAGGACAAAAAUAAAUACUGCUCUUCAACAGGAUUCUCACACCGUUUAUGCGAUUUCCCAUCCCCUGGCUGGUCCCUGGGGGCAGGACACCGCCUGGAAACCAUCUCGGGUUGCAGAGGUUCCGCGGAGGACCCUUGGAUCUGAGCCUGAGAGGCACAGGUUGC